UACGUAGGGGGCAAGCGUUAUCCGGAUUUACUGGGUGUAAAGGGAGCGUAGACGGCACGGCAAGCCAGAUGUGAAAGCCCAGGGCUCAACCCCGGGACUGCAUUUGGAACUGCUGAGCUAGAGUGUCGGAGAGGCAAGUGGAAUUCCUAGUGUAGCGGUGAAAUGCGUAGAUAUUAGGAGGAACACCAGUGGCGAAGGCGGCUUGCUGGACGAUGACUGACGUUGAGGCUCGAAAGCGUGGGGAGCAAACAGG
This 253-nucleotide ribosomal RNA is filed under the name Dorea longicatena. Its description in RNAcentral is "partial 16S ribosomal RNA". It matches the Rfam family "Bacterial small subunit ribosomal RNA", at positions 524 to 776 of the family's 1533-position model. The record is from RNAcentral. Lineage: Bacteria; Bacillati; Bacillota; Clostridia; Lachnospirales; Lachnospiraceae.